This 642-nucleotide small RNA is filed under the name Pongo abelii (Sumatran orangutan). RNAcentral describes it as "retained intron". The stretch from base 1 to 80 matches the Rfam family "Small nucleolar RNA snR60/Z15/Z230/Z193/J17". Lineage: Eukaryota; Metazoa; Chordata; Mammalia; Primates; Hominidae. The record is from RNAcentral.
GAUACAAUGAUGAUAACAUAGUUCAGCAGACUAACACUGAUGAGCAAUAUUAAGUCUUUCGCUCCUAUCUGAUGUAUCUGGCGGUAACAUUCUAGUUUAUGCCCUGAAAAGGGGAAUAUAGCCAUUCUAUAACGUUUGGAGAUUUUGGAUUACUCCUAAUUGUAUGCAAGUUGUCUUACUGUGUAUUGUCCCUUAAUUUCAGGACUCAGAAUUCAUGCUUGAAGAAAUGCAGGUUAGUUUAAACUUUUAAGGAAAUUUUUAAGGUGGCAAAAGGUUUUGGUGACAUAUACACCUUAAUCUGUAGAUGGGAGUGAUUAGCUGUUUAAAAGUUAAAAUGUGACUGAGAAGGAAAUUGAGUAGGGCAAAUUUUAAAUGGGUAUUAUUUUUCAUCUUCAAACAGGCAGACCUGUUAUCCUAAACUAGGGUUUUUAAUGACCACGACAAGCAAGCAUGCAGCUUACUGCUUGAAAGGGUCUUGCCUCACCCAAGCUGGAGUGCAGUGGCCUCUGAAGCUUACUACAGCCUCAAACUUCUGGGCUCAAGUGAUCCUCAGCCUCCCAAUGGUCUUUGUAGACUGCCUGAUGGAGUCUCAUGGCACAAGAAGAUUAAAACAAUGCUCCAAUUUUAAUAAAUUUUUGCAAU